Molecule: ribosomal RNA, 492 nt
Filed under: uncultured bacterium
Lineage: Bacteria
Description: partial 16S ribosomal RNA
Rfam family: Bacterial small subunit ribosomal RNA
Source: RNAcentral
AGUGAACGCUGGCGGUAGGCCUAACACAUGCAAGUCGAACGGCAGCACAGUAAGAGCUUGCUCUUACGGGUGGCGAGUGGCGGACGGGUGAGGAAUACAUCGGAAUCUACUUUUUCGUGGGGGAUAACGUAGGGAAACUUACGCUAAUACCGCAUACGACCUACGGGUGAAAGCAGGGGAUCUUCGGACCUUGCGCGAUUGAAUGAGCCGAUGUCGGAUUAGCUAGUUGGCGGGGUAAAGGCCCACCAAGGCGACGAUCCGUAGCUGGUCUGAGAGGAUGAUCAGCCACACUGGAACUGAGACACGGUCCAGACUCCUACGGGAGGCAGCAGUGGGGAAUAUUGGACAAUGGGCGCAAGCCUGAUCCAGCCAUACCGCGUGGGUGAAGAAGGCCUUCGGGUUGUAAAGCCCUUUUGUUGGGAAAGAAAAGCAGCAGGUUAAUACCCCGCUGUCCUGACGGUACCCAAAGAAUAAGCACCGACUAACUUCGUG